GGGAAUAUAGCUCGGUGGUAGAGUUCUUGCCUUGAAUGCAGUAGGCCCUGGGUUCUAUCCCCAGCACUACCA
Molecule: transfer RNA, 72 nt
Filed under: Cavia porcellus (domestic guinea pig)
Lineage: Eukaryota; Metazoa; Chordata; Mammalia; Rodentia; Caviidae
Rfam family: tRNA
About the family: Transfer RNA (tRNA) molecules are approximately 80 nucleotides in length.
Source: Rfam by way of RNAcentral